ACUGCGGCCAGUCCUUAUGUUUCGUCGGCGUCGACACCCAUGCCGAUAAGUUCAUCAACGAUCCUUCUGCUCGAUCCGGGAUGCAGGGGUCUGGAGCUCAUGGGGCCAGUAGCAUGUUAGCUUCCACACGCAUGGAUAAUUCCUUUGUGGUGUUGCCAAAGCAACGGCCACAAUCACAUGGAGUUCCUCGUCCUCGUGAGGGGGCUGGUCAGGCUGAUACAGGACAAACUGGAAAGGCAAUGG
RNAcentral lists this unclassified non-coding RNA (243 nucleotides) under Hevea brasiliensis (rubber tree). Lineage: Eukaryota; Viridiplantae; Streptophyta; Magnoliopsida; Malpighiales; Euphorbiaceae. The record is from RNAcentral.